GUCCCCAUCGUCUAGAGGCCUAGGACAUCGCCCUUUCACGGCGGUAACCGGGGUUCGAACCCCCGUGGGGACGCCA
This 76-nucleotide transfer RNA is filed under the name Thiothrix sp. RNAcentral's name for it is "tRNA-Glu". It matches the Rfam family "tRNA". Rfam says of the family: Transfer RNA (tRNA) molecules are approximately 80 nucleotides in length. The record is from RNAcentral. RNAcentral also lists the same sequence under 1 other name. Lineage: Bacteria; Pseudomonadati; Pseudomonadota; Gammaproteobacteria; Thiotrichales; Thiotrichaceae.